GUGCCAGCCGCCGCGGUAAUACAGAGGGUGCGAGCGUUGUCCGGAAUCACUGGGCGUAAAGGGCGCGUAGGCGGCCUGGUAAGUAGGGGGUGAAAUCCCGCGGCUCAACCGCGGGGCUGCCUCCUAGACUGCCGGGCUCGAGCACAGUAGAGGCAGGUGGAAUUCCCGGUGUAGCGGUGGAAUGCGUAGAGAUCGGGAAGAACAUCGGUGGCGAAGGCGGCCUGCUGGGCUGUUGCUGACGCUGAGGCGCGACAGCGUGGGGAGCAAACAGGAUUAGAAACCCCUGUAGUCC
RNAcentral lists this ribosomal RNA (292 nucleotides) under uncultured bacterium. RNAcentral describes it as "partial 16S ribosomal RNA". It matches the Rfam family "Bacterial small subunit ribosomal RNA", at positions 505 to 796 of the family's 1533-position model. The record is from RNAcentral.